This 580-nucleotide ribosomal RNA is filed under the name Tricholomopsis sp. RNAcentral's name for it is "partial large subunit ribosomal RNA". It matches the Rfam family "Eukaryotic large subunit ribosomal RNA", at positions 71 to 662 of the family's 3401-position model. The record is from RNAcentral. Lineage: Eukaryota; Fungi; Basidiomycota; Agaricomycetes; Agaricales.
AGGAUUCCCCUAGUAACUGCGAGUGAAGCGGGAAAAGCUCAAAUUUAAAAUCUGGCAGUCUUUGACCGUCCGAGUUGUAAUUUAGAGAAGCAAUGCCGGCGCUGGACUGUGUACAAGUCUCCUGGAAUGGAGCGUCAUAGAGGGUGAGAAUCCCGUAUAUGACACAGUUGCCAGGGCACAGUGGCAUGCUCUCAAAGAGUCGAGUUGUUUGGGAAUGCAGCUCAAAAUGGGUGGUAAAUUCCAUCUAAAGCUAAAUACAGGCGAGAGACCGAUAGCGAACAAGUACCGUGAGGGAAAGAUGAAAAGAACUUUGGAAAGAGAGUUAAACAGUACGUGAAAUUGUUGAAAGGGAAACGCUUGAAGUCAGUCUUGUUGCUGGAAAUCACACUUGCUUCUGCUUGUGGCUCUUUCCUUUGCAAUGGGUCAGCAUCAGUUUUGGUUGUUGGAUAAGAGUCAGAGGAAUGUGGCAUCCUUGGAUGUGUUAUAGCCUCUGACUGCAUGCAAUGACAGAGACUGAGGAACUCGGCACUUGCUGCCUAGGAUGCUGGCAUAAUGGCUUUAAUCGACCCGUCUUGAAAAC